RNAcentral lists this ribosomal RNA (547 nucleotides) under Arcoscalpellum sp. 1 ZG-2020. RNAcentral describes it as "partial large subunit ribosomal RNA". It matches the Rfam family "Bacterial large subunit ribosomal RNA", at positions 1808 to 2644 of the family's 2925-position model. Lineage: Eukaryota; Metazoa; Arthropoda; Thecostraca; Scalpellidae. The record is from RNAcentral.
UCAAAACAUUUCUUUCUAUUUUAGAAGGUAAGGCCUGCUCACUGAAGUUUAAAGAGCCGCAGUAUUUUAACUGUGCUAAGGUAGCAUAAUCAUUAGUUUUUUAAUUGAGGACUGGUAUGAAUGGCUUAACGAAAAAUUGACUUUUUUUGUAAGAGGAAUUGAAUUUAAUUUUUUAGUUAAAAAGCUAAGAUUUUUUAAAAAGACGAGAAGACCCUGUAGAGUUUUACAUUUGUGUUUAAGGUUUCUUAGGUUUAAAAAAUUUAGCUAAGGAUGUUUUGUUGGGGUGACAUUAAGAUAUCAAAAACUCUUAAUUUUUAGUAUUUUAACAGAAAUAUUUUUGAUCCUUAAAAAAGAUUAUUGGAAAAAUUACCUCAGGGAUAACAGCGUAAUCUUUUUUGAGAGUUCUUAUCGACAAAAGGGUUUGCGACCUCGAUGUUGGAUUAAAAUUAGGCAAGGGGCAGUAGCUUUGUCGAUGGGUCUGUUCGACCCUUAGGAUUUUACAUGAUCUGAGUUCAGACCGGCGUGAGCCAGGUUGGUUUUCUAUCUA